Molecule: long non-coding RNA, 1256 nt
Organism: Homo sapiens (human)
Lineage: Eukaryota; Metazoa; Chordata; Mammalia; Primates; Hominidae
Product: long intergenic non-protein coding RNA 2444
Source: Ensembl
UUCUUCUGCCUCAGCCUCCCAAGUAGCUGGGACUAUAGGCGCCUGCCACCACGCCGGGCUAAUUUUUUGUAUUUUUUUUAGUAGAGACUGGGUUUCACCGUGUUUGCCAGGAUGGUCUCGAUUUCCUGACCUCGUGAUCCACCCGCUUCGGCCUCCUAAAGUGCUGGGAUUACAGGCGUGAUCCCCUGCGCCUGGCGAGUCCUUCUGUUUUCAACAUGUGUGAACAUAAGUCAUAUUAGAAGAAAAACCUCUUGGAUGGUAGAAAGCAAUCUUCAGCCUGAGACCCAUUCCUAGUUCAGACAUAUCACCUUGCAACUACAAAAUGGCUGUCCUACUUCCAGCAUCACAGUUAUAUUCUGGGCAAGAAGCACAAGAGCAGCAGGAGCUCUUACGAUGCAUAGAGUGCCUAGAAAACCCACACAAAAUUACUAUCCAUUCUACAGAGCACCAAUCUCAUGGAAUAGAAGUUUCCUUAAUGAUUUUGUCCUUCUCUGGGAACCUAUCUGUGAGUUCUAGAGAACUCACACCACAAAGAAAACUGUCUGCUCUGAAUAUGCCGGAUCCACUCAAUGCUGAAGUGUGUUCUCUGCUUCAUUGGCGGCCUGAUGAUUGCAGCACUCUCAUAACCAGUCUUCUGAUACCCAAGCUCUCAACUCUCAUCUCUCAUCACCUUACCAUCAGGAAACAUUCUGAAACAAGCAUCUGAAACACAUGAUUCUCAAUGCUUUAUGCUGGUUAAUGAUUCUUUAUUGUUUAAAAUAUUUAAGCAUGGUAUCAAAUGUUGCUCAAAAGCUGACCACUGUUUUGAUACCAGUACCAUGCUGUUUUGGUUACUGUAGCCUUGUAGUAUAGUUUGAAGUCAGGUAGCGUGAUGCCUCCAGCUUUGUUCUUUUGGCUUAGGAUUGACUUGGCAAUGCGGGCUCUUUUUUGAUUCCAUGUGAACUUUAAAGUAGUUUUUUCCAAUUCUGUGAAGAAAGUCAUUGGUAGCUUCAUGGGGAUGGCAUUGAAUCUAUAAAUUACCUUGGGCAGUGACCAAUGGAACAGAACAGAGCCCUCAGAAAUAAUACCACACAUCUACAACCAUCCGAUCUUUGACAAACCUGACAAAAACAAGAAAUGGGGAAAGGAUUCCUUAUUUAAUAAAUGGUGCUGAGAAAACUGGCUAGCCAUUAGGUAGAAAGCUGAAACUGGAAUGCUUCCCUACACCUUAUACAAAAAUUAAUUCAAGAUGGAUUAAAGACUUAAAUAUUAGACCU